This 484-nucleotide long non-coding RNA is filed under the name Rosa chinensis. Its description in RNAcentral is "sRNA RchiOBHm_Chr7g0240221". The record is from RNAcentral. Lineage: Eukaryota; Viridiplantae; Streptophyta; Magnoliopsida; Rosales; Rosaceae.
UCUGGGCUAUAAUUGGUAUGAAACUUGCGCCAGCGACUUUUCCAACAUUUCUGGUCUGGGUUUCAGCUUCGGCUGCAGCUCUAGACGAGAGAUUGUGAAGCUUUCUGGGUUGUAGCACGAGGGAUCAUCAACUCAUCACUUUCCCGGUCCCGGCAGUGCGUUGGGCUCGGUUGCAGUCGACUUCCGAAGGUGUAAUUCGACUUCUUGAGUGGAAGUUUGGUUCUUGUUGGGUAAACCGGAAUCUGUUGCUGGUAUUGAAACUUUUGAAUCAAUUGUUUGUGUGUGCAAUGGAUUGUGGAGUUGUGGCAGAGCUCGGGUUGUCUAGGUUGUGUAUUUAGUUUGUUAAGUUGUUGUAGUUAGCAAGCUGGAAUAUAUUUUGACUUGAAAGUGGUUGCCUUGUUAAAUGGGUAUUGUGUUGUAUGUUUGAAUUGUGGUUGUCUUAUGAAUUGGUUGUGGAAUAAUCGAAAAAUGGUCAAGUUAUGAA